AUUGAACGCUGGCGGCAGGCCUAACACAUGCAAGUCGGGCGGUAGAGAGAAGCUUGCUUCUCUUGAGAGCGGCGGACGGGUGAGUAAUGCCUAGGAAUCUGCCUGGUAGUGGGGGAUAACGUUCGGAAACGGACGCUAAUACCGCAUACGUCCUACGGGAGAAAGCAGGGGACCUUCGGGCCUUGCGCUAUCAGAUGAGCCUAGGUCGGAUUAGCUAGUUGGUGAGGUAAUGGCUCACCAAGGCGACGAUCCGUAACUGGUCUGAGAGGAUGAUCAGUCACACUGGAACUGAGACACGGUCCAGACUCCUACGGGAGGCAGCAGUGGGGAAUAUUUGACUAUGGGCGAAAGCCUGAUCCAGCCAUGCCGCGUGUGUGAGGAAGGUCUUCGGAUUGUAAAGCACUUUAAGUUGGGAGGAAGGGUUGUAGAUUAAUACCCUGCAAUUUUGACGUUACCGACAGAAAUAAGAACCGGGUGCUUUCUGUGUCAGCUCCCGCGGUAAUUAUGGGGCGCGGGCGUUAAUAUCGUUUUAACGGGCGGAAAGCGCUCGUAGGUGGUUCUUGGUUGGGUUGGCACUCCCCCCCUCUA
Molecule: ribosomal RNA, 588 nt
Filed under: uncultured Pseudomonas sp.
Lineage: Bacteria; Pseudomonadati; Pseudomonadota; Gammaproteobacteria; Pseudomonadales; Pseudomonadaceae
Description: bacterial SSU rRNA
Rfam family: Bacterial small subunit ribosomal RNA
Source: RNAcentral